Molecule: unclassified non-coding RNA, 249 nt
Filed under: Bombus terrestris (buff-tailed bumblebee)
Lineage: Eukaryota; Metazoa; Arthropoda; Insecta; Hymenoptera; Apidae
Description: misc RNA ENSBTSG00005027243.1
Source: RNAcentral
UACAUAAAAUAAUUGAUAUUUAAAAAGGGAUAAAUCAUAUACUUUUUUGUAUUAAGAAAAUAUUUUUAAAGUAUUCUAAUAUAUGUACACAUUACUGUUUUCAAUACAGUAAAUUUUAUUUUACAAACAUCCUAUCAUUUCUUUACCACACAAACUAUUCAUUAUACUUAUGGGAAUAAAGCUAAUUCAUAUUUUACAUAUAAAGGCUAUAGAAAGAAAACUUUACAUAAAUAUAAAAUUUACCGUCAA